Molecule: ribosomal RNA, 253 nt
Filed under: uncultured prokaryote
Description: partial 16S ribosomal RNA
Rfam family: Bacterial small subunit ribosomal RNA
Source: RNAcentral
ACGAACCGAGCGAACGUUAUUCGGAAUCACUGGGCUUAAAGGGCGCGUAGGCGGGCCCGAAAGUCAGGGGUGAAAGCCCACGGCUCAACCGUGGAAGUGCCUCUGAUACUUCGGGCCUCGAGGGAGGUAGGGGCGUGCGGAACUUCCGGUGGAGCGGUGAAAUGCGUAGAUAUCGGAAGGAACGUCGGUGGCGAAAGCGGCGCGCUGGACCUCUUCUGACGCUGAGGCGCGAAAGCCAGGGGAGCGAACGGGA